ACCUCGAGUGCCAGGUUACAAAUCUGGCUGUCGUGAUGCCUAAAAAGCAUUGCAUAGCAAGGGCCGGGCAAGACCGGUGCCAGCCGCCGCGGUAACACCGGCGGCUCGAGUGGUAACCGUUAUUAUUGGGUCUAAAGGGUCUGUAGCCGGCCGGAUAAGUCUCUUGAGAAAUCCAGCAGCUCAACUGUUGGGCUUUCAGGAGAUACUGUUCGGCUCGAGGCCGGGAGAGGUGAGAGGUACUUCAGGGGUAGGGGUGAAAUCUUGUAAUCCUUGAAGGACCACCAGUGGCGAAGGCGUCUCACCAGAACGGACCUGACGGCAAGGGACGAAAGCUAGGGGCACGAACCGGAUUAGAUACCCGGGUAGUCCUAGCCGUAAACGAUACUCGCUAGGUGUCGGCCACGGUGCGACCGUUGUCGGUGCCGUAGGGAAGCCGUGAAGCGAGC
This 446-nucleotide ribosomal RNA is filed under the name uncultured archaeon. Its description in RNAcentral is "bacterial SSU rRNA". It matches the Rfam family "Archaeal small subunit ribosomal RNA", at positions 378 to 824 of the family's 1478-position model. The record is from RNAcentral.